CAGGCCUAACACAUGCAAGUCGAGCGCCCUGCAAGGGGAGCGGCAGACGGGUGAGUAACGCGUGGGAAUCUACCCUUUGGUACGGGAUAGCUCCGGGAAACUGGAAUUAAUACCGUAUGUGGCUUUUGAGCGAAAGAUUUAUCGCCAAAGGAUGAGCCCGCGUCCGAUUAGCUAGUUGGUGGGGUAAAGGCCUACCAAGGCGACGAUCGGUAGCUGGUCUAAGAGGAUGAUCAGCCACAUUGGGACUGAGACACGGCCCAAACUCCUACGGGAGGCAGCAGUGGGGAAUAUUGGACAAUGGGCGCAAGCCUGAUCCAGCCAUGCCGCGUGAGUGAUGAAGGUCUUAGGAUUGUAAAGCUCUUUCACCGGGGACGAUAAUGACGGUACCCGGAGAAGAAGCCCCGGCUAACUUCGUGCCAGCAGCCGCGGUAAU
This 433-nucleotide ribosomal RNA is filed under the name uncultured bacterium. Its description in RNAcentral is "bacterial SSU rRNA". It matches the Rfam family "Bacterial small subunit ribosomal RNA", at positions 43 to 524 of the family's 1533-position model. The record is from RNAcentral.